Molecule: ribosomal RNA, 355 nt
Filed under: uncultured bacterium
Lineage: Bacteria
Description: partial 16S ribosomal RNA
Rfam family: Bacterial small subunit ribosomal RNA
Source: RNAcentral
GAGUUCGGACCAGCGGUGGAGCAUGUGGUUUAAUUCGAUAAUACGCGAGAAACCUUACCAGUUCUUGAAAUUUUUCAUUUUUUACAUACUUUUAAAAAAAGUAAGAAAAAACAGGUGUUGCAUGGCUGUCGUCAGCUCGUGUCGUGAGAUGUUUUGGUUAAUUCCUUAUUUAGUAACGAGCGAAACCCUUAUUUUUAUUCAUUUUUUAAAAAGAAUUUUUAAAAUAAUUUCAAUAAAAAGACUACCGACGAAAAGUUGGAGGAAGCAGAGGAUUACGUCAAGUCUUCAUGGCCCUUAUGAACUGGGCUACACAUGUGCUACAAUGGUUUAUACAAAAAGAAGCUUUAUAAAUUAA